This 3200-nucleotide long non-coding RNA is filed under the name Capsella rubella. RNAcentral's name for it is "long non-coding RNA (CRUB_LNC001610)". The record is from RNAcentral. Lineage: Eukaryota; Viridiplantae; Streptophyta; Magnoliopsida; Brassicales; Brassicaceae.
AUUUCUAAAAAAUUUACAAACAUGAUAGGAGGAAAAAUGGGCUAUAUUACGUAUUUAUUUUGACUUUGCGGGAUUGACUUGCAUUUUAUGGAUUUGAAGGGUAAACUUGCAAAAAAUGGCGAGUUUGAGGGUUUAUUUCCAGAAAGCAUACUAAUGAAAUGCAUUUGCUAUAAACAGCUUAAGAAUACUUUGCAAGGCAAUAGUUUUAUAUGUAUAUACAAUUUAAAAAAAAAAAGAAACUUCAUAUUUUUCAGAAAAGGACGAGUCAAUCGUAACAGCUUCGUAGCCACUCCUGCAACUGGGGUUGGAUUAGUUCUGCUUUAAAAUUUACUAAUUAGAUCUCGGUUUCAACCUGAAUAUAUCUGAAACUGGGAACCUUAACACCAUAUAUUCCCCCUUUAGUACCCAAACCUUAAUUUAUUUCUACUUUGCUAAAGAUUAUAAAACCUUGUGCUUACCAAUUUAAAUUAUAUCACUUUUUGCUGGUUUUCUUGUCUAUACUUUCUUAUUUUGGUUUAUCUAUUUUAGGUAUAAUGUUUUAUAUAAAAUUUUAUGAAAUAAUUUGGAUAAACUCUUCCAACAUAUAUUUCAGGUAUUUCGGGUAUGCAAUAACUAUGAGCAAUUAUUUCUAGUUCAUUAUUGGCUUCGGGUAUUUCAAAUAUAUACGGACAAUCCAUCUUUUCCAUGAAACCAAUAUUUCUUUAGUUUUUUUAUCUGGAAAAUAACCUAAAAAGCUAUUUGAUUUGCAUAAUAUCUGAAUAUAUAUUGUUUUCCAUGUUCAAAUUUGAAAUAUAUCUAUUUUGUAUGAAUAAAUACUGUUUUCGUGCAAUUAGUUUUUGAAAAAAUAUAUAUUUUGUAUAACUUUAGACCUUAACAAAAGAUCUAUUGUAGCAAACUAGUUAAGUUAUCUAUUUAGAUAUAUUUCCUUAUUAAAAGCCUAGCAACAGAAAAUCUUGUUAUAUUUGAAACAUAUAUAUUUUGUUAAAUUUACUUCCUAACAAAUGAUCCGUUGGAGCACACUGGUUAAAUUCAUAUACAUUGAUGUAUUUCCUGGUUCAAAGCCCGGCAACGGAAAAUAUUUAUUUUUGAAUUAAAAUUUGCAAUUAUCUUUUAAAUAUAUACAAUUUCCUAUUAUUUACAUAUUAACGAAAGAUCCAUUAUAGCAAACUAGGUAAGUUCAUCUAUUUUAAUGUAUGUUUGGGUCAAGCCCGUCAAUCUUUUUAAUUUAAAAUAUGAGUUUAUCCUUUUUUUUACAAAAAUAUUACAUAUAAAAUUACAUCGUAACAGAAGAUUUGUGCUAUAAUUCUUGUUAAGUUCAUCUACAUUGGGGAAAAUCAACCCAAACUAUUUCCCGAAGGUAUUUUCAUUCCCAAACUCGCGUGCUCUGAAUUUUACAACCCAAACCAGCUUUCAAUUCAAAUAACCAACCUGAACUAUAUCAAAUUUUGUCGAUUUCAACCUCGACGUUAACAGUAUCCUUGCCCAUCUUGAAGAUUUGGAAAUUAAGCUUAAGCUUAAGCUUAAUUUCUCUUGGUUUUUACAGAAGCGUAAGCUUGAUUAUCCAAAUAUUCAAGAUGGGCAAGGAUACUGUUAACGUCAAGGUUGAAAUCGACAAAAUUUGAUGUGGUUCAGGUGGGUUAUUUGAAUUGAAAGCUGGUUUGGGUUGUAAAAUUCAGAGUACGUGAGUUUGGGUAUGAAAAUAUCUUCGGGAAAUAGUUUGGGUUGAUUUUCCCCGUUUUCCCGUUAAGUUCAUCUACAUUGAUGUAUUUCCGGGUACAAACCCGAGCAACGGAAAACCUUUUUUACUUCUAAAAACUAAUUUCUUUUUGAAUAUAUAUUAUUUCAUUUAAAUUUACCUCCUAACAAAAGAUUCAUUGUACCACACUAGUUCAGUUCAUCUACUUUAAUGUAUUUCCUAGUUCAAAUCCCAAUAACCUUAGUUAUCUAAAAUAUGUAAUUAUCUUUUUGAAAUAUAUAUAUCCUAUAAAAUUACCUCCUUACAAAAGAUUUGUGGUAUAACACUUACCAUAAAACGACUCAUCAGCGCAAAAGCUCAUCGUGGAAGGCUCCUUGAAAAGCACGUUAUCUGGAAUACCUUCUGAAACACUCGAGGAUUCCUAUGUAUUUAUCAUUGCUUUGUAACUGUUAAAAUAUAUGCUUCUGACCCUCUAGAUUUGUGUUCCUCUUGCUCUAUAAUUGUCUUCAGGUUGAAUAUGAUCCAAGAGGAUGAUUGGUUAUGGUUUUGGUCUAGCCAUAAUUUGAGAGAAGUGUUGAGACAAGGUCCUAAUGUAUAGAGAAAGUAUAUUAAAUCUCUACACAAUUGGUGUUUGGAAAUCUUGAGUUUGUGUGGCCCAAAAUUUAGAAAGUUGGAAUCUUUUUGAACAAAGGUUGAGAAGAACUAAUUAGUCCUAAGGCGUUAGAUAAAUAAACAACUUAUUAACCUAAUUGUUUGCUCGCACUCGAAGCACUAGAUUAAACAAACAUGGCUAACUAGUUAAGUUUAGUAAAAUUAUUUAAUCCCUCAUAUAUUUUAAUACAGUCGUAUAUUUUUGCAACUCUACCCUUUAUAUCAAAAAAAAUGCAAAAUAAUUAUACUAAGUCAAGAAUAAUAUGCAAUACAACUCUUAUAAGAGAGAAAUUUAUUUUUCUAAACGACUUUAUGCUCACAUACAUUUUCUUUUGAAAAAUCUGAAGAUAUAUUUGAACUCCUAGUCACGAAGGCUUUGAUUUGAUAUGUUAUUUCUAAAAAAUUUACAAACAUGAUAGGAGGAAAAAUGGGCUAUAUUACGUAUUUAUUUUGACUUUGCGGGAUUGACUUGCAUUUUAUGAAUUUGAAGGGUAAACUUGCAAAAAAUGGCGACUUUAAGGGUUUAUUUCCAGAAAGCAUACUAAUGAAAUGCAUUUGCUAUAAACAGCUUAAGAAUACUUUGCAAGGCAAUAGNNNNNNNNNNNNNNNNNNNNNNNNNNNNNNNNNNNNNNNNNNNNNNNNNNNNNNNNNNNNNNNNNNNNNNNNNNNNNNNNNNNNNNNNNNNNNNNNNNNNUAAAAAAAACAAGAAACUUCAUAUUUUUCAGAAAAGGACGAGUCAAUCGUAACAGCUUCGUAGCCACUCCUGCAACUGGGGUUGGAUUAGUUCUGCUUUAAAAUUUACUAACUAGAUCUCGGUUUCAACCUGAAUAUAUCUGAAACUGGGAACCUUAAC